AUGAUCAAACGUGAUCAAACCUUAUGGAAUAAAUUGUUGACCCAUGAAGAGGUAAUGACUGUCAAGUGCAUAUUUUCCGGGAUUUGUGAUAUCACAAAGAUCGACGAAUGGGACGAGACCUGGUUGAGCUGCAAUAGAGAAGGCAACGAGUGUAAUCACUUUUCAAAAACUACAACGAACAGCUCGACAUUUCCUGACCAGGCGCCGAGUGCUGUCAAACACAACACACAUUGGCCCAGCUAACCAGUCACAACACAGACUGGCACAGGUAACCAUUCACAGCGCAUUUCUUAUGAAAGCGGGCCUUCAUUUAAUGCAGGAACUAUUCCAGCCAUUCACGCCAGACUGGGGAGAGAGGUGUUGUAAUAAUGUAAAAUAUAUGAAAAAUAUAUGUUUUUCGCACAACCUAGUAUGAGAGCCUGUUGUAAUCAAGACCUUGUAAAAGAGCAUAAUAGGACCCCUUUUAAGAAGAGAAUAUUGGAAGCAUCUCUUUCAAUAGCUUAGUCAAUGGAGGGUCUAACUUACAUGGUGUUGAUUUUAAUGAUCUAACAAAUUUAGACAGUUCUUCCCCUUCUAUAACAAAUAAUGAAUGGAAUGAGCGGCAACCUCCCACUCUCUCUCGUGAAGCCAACAAGGAAGUGACUAGAACUGUAAUUCAUCGACUGGCCGCUUGAGGCUGGCUGCAAAAGGGAGUCAAUCCCAUAGACUCCCCAACAUGUUUACAGCCUGGUUCAAAAAUGAUUUUGGUCUAAAUAGCUAAUUUUGCCCUUCAUGACAACUGUGAGGGGGUGAAUUUUUUUUUAUAACUCAUCUGUUUAAAUUAUAUUAAGCCUUAAAGUUCUGCAUAAUUAAGGGCGUGGCCACGUGAGUGACAGGUGGAUUGCCGCUGCUGACAAUGCCAUCGCCCUAGGUGGGCGUGGCUUCAGCAACCAGCUCCCGCCUUUUUGCUCAUUUUCGAUUAUUUGGGAGAGUUGCGCGUGGCACGCUGCCAAGAUGGCGACGGCCCACUCUGCACACUUUGAGCUUCAAAACUGCUCUUCAGGAGUCUAUGGGUGACGUCACGGACACUACGUCCAUAUUUUUAUACAGUCUAUGGAAUGGAAUUGUUUCUCAUGGAGUCUAUAGUGCAUUAUCUGAUGCAAAACUGUAGCAAAUGGUUGCAUGGUUAUAUUUUUCUCUCUGAUAGUAUCAAUCUUGCAAGUAUAGAAGUUCAUAAAAUCAAUGCUGCUGUGCUGUUGUGAAAUAUCUAAACUUGAAGUUCUAUUUCUCAUUAAUUUAGCUACUGUAUCAAAUAAGUAACUAGGGUUGUGUUUGUUUUCUUCUUAACUCUUUCCCCGCCUGCAUUUUUGAAAAAAAGUUGCCAACCACCAGCAGCAAUUUUUAUGAUUUUCAAAAUUUGAUGGCCUACAGUAUGUUUUGCUGCAUGAAUAUUUGAAUAUGCAAUACAUCAAAAUAAAGAUUAAAGCCUCUACUUUAAAAAAAAAACAAUCAGUUUUAUUCUAGCUUAAAGCAUUCAUUUUUUUAUCAACAUUUGAAUAUAGGUAGGUUUCAUAAAAAAAAUUAUAAUUUUGAGCAAAAAGGUGAGAAAAUCAAAUUUUUAUCAAAAACUACAUCCGUAUAAAAUUAAUCUGUAUACUCCAUAACAUUAUGCAGUUUUCAUUUAUAUGCUGUCUAUUGUUGAUGAUCGCAUUAUUUAUCAUAUGCAUCUGUUUGUUAGUUUUUCCAUCCUGUUCACAUGUGUUUUUUGUUUGGGAGGUUUUGUACUCGCUCAGAAGAUGUGUAAUAGCUCCCCCGAGUGUAUAACAGUGAAAACACGAAAAGCCGUAAAAACUCAGGGCACUUUCAUCAGGUUUUUCAGUUGAUGUCACUGACUGGGGAGAUCCUGUUUAAUGUUUUGAUUGGAACAGAAGAACAGCGUUUUGUCUCAUGACUAUGUUGCCUCACAGUCACCUAGUUUCCCUGCUAGAGGGUCUCUGCAACCAGAACCAAACGAUGCGUGGGAUCUGCUAAGCUAGUUGCAUGCAAAGCCCUAUCUAACUAGCCAAGUAUUUGAAUGUUGAGCAGAAAGCUCACUGGCUGCUGAUGUGGAAAAAAAAAAAAAAAACAUUAUGUCAGAUUGAGUUAGAACCUAUCUAUAGGUCUGCGCCAUCUAGAGUUUCAUGACAGAACUUUGGUUUCUCUUCAGGAACUCAAGCUGCGUCGUAGGAUGCUUUGGGAACGCCCUUCAGUGUGACCGGCUCUGAACCACGUGUGUAAUCAAUCCAAUGGAUGGGCGAGAUGUCACAGGCGGGUUGACGUAGUGACCAGGAAGCUUAAAAGCACAUGCGGUGAAACCAGCAUCAGCUUUCUGUCAUUCAGCAAGCGCUCUGUGUGUGUGUCAGUCAUUAUAUCUAUUUGUAUCUGUAUCCGGUGCCCGCUCUCAUGGUUUUGGAAGUCUGCACUGCAGUCCUUCCCCCCCUGUCUGACUCUGAGGAGAUUGAUAUGGAGAGUGUCGAUGAGCUCGCAAGUUGCACAAGCAUCAGUUACACAAGCAUAUUAUGCCUAAUAUUAUGAUAAGCAGCAUAAUUUUGGAAGGAGAGCUUGCGCAAUCAGCUCUUGGGGGCUGAUUGUGUUUUUCCCACUGUUAAGUGCUCUGCUCUCGCCGGACACGCUCUGAAGAGUGUGUCCGUGCCUGUGAUUUUGUGAUCCCGGUCCCGCUGCUGCUGAGGCAGGUGGCAAUUGAGAUUACGGGGAUCGCACAUGAUCUGGCGGAUGGGUUGGAGACGGCUCUUCCUAUCUCCACCCGUGUUCCCUAGAUCUAGAGCUCAUUCUCGAGGCUUGGAAGCCUGUGCUGUGGUUUCUUCCCCCUCUGAGUGAGAGCUCGCUGCUGCGGCCAUUUUCAUCUUUCUCAGCUUCCGGUCUCUCAGCCAAGGUUGUUGAGACCAUCCUCCAAUCCAGAGACCCCUCUACGAAGAACUGUACACCUUGAAAUGGAAACUUUUUAGUACUUCACCAGCUUAACCCAGUUAACUGCCCUGUUGAUACAGUCCUGGAGGUCCUGCAGGCCCUAUUCUCCGCUGGGUUAACCCACUCCACCCUGAAGGUCUACGUGGCGGCCAUUGCGGCUUACCACACCCCUCUCGGUGGCCAGUCAGUGGGCAGACACCCCCUAGUUACACGUUUCCUCCGUGGUGCUCUGAGGCUGAGGCCUCUGGUAUGAUCUUGUGUCCCCAUGUGGGACCUGGCUGUGGUGCUAGAAGCUCUCUGUAGGCCUCCCUUUGAGCUUAUCGAGGAGAUCUGAUUGCCACCUCACUAUCAAGACUACCUUUCUUCUGGCGAUAUCUUCUCUCAAGAGAGUUGGGGAUCUGCAAGCCCUAUCAGUAGCCCUUUCCUAUCUUGACUUUGCGCCCAGUCUGGCCAAAGCAUUUUUGUACCCUCUACACCAUGGCCUGUCGUACUCCAGGCCUUCAGUCCUCCUCCCUUCAGGGAGCCAGACCAGCAGAAGCUUAAUUGUAUGUGUCCAGUGUGAGCCAUUUCUAUUGCUCAUGAGUCCUCUGAUCUCCCUUCACCUCUAGGGGUCAAGGCUCAUUCUAAUAGAAAUGUGGUGGCCUCCAGGACCUUCUUGGCAGGUGUCUCGAUACAG
This is a long non-coding RNA of Cyprinus carpio carpio, 3622 nucleotides long. The record is from Ensembl. Lineage: Eukaryota; Metazoa; Chordata; Actinopteri; Cypriniformes; Cyprinidae.